UACAGAGGGUGCGAGCGUUAAUCGGAGUUACUGGGCGUAAAGGGCGCGUAGGCGGUUAUAUAAGUGAGAUGUGAAAUCCCUGGGCUUAACCUAGGAACUGCAUCUCAUACUGUAUGACUGGAGUAUUGUAGAGGGUAGUGGAAUUUCCGGUGUAGCGGUGAAAAUGCGUAGAGAUCGGAAGGAACACCAGUGGCGAAGGCGGCUACCUGGACAAAUACUGACGCUGAGGCGCGAGAGCGUGGGGAGCAAACAGG
RNAcentral lists this ribosomal RNA (254 nucleotides) under uncultured bacterium. RNAcentral's name for it is "partial 16S ribosomal RNA". It matches the Rfam family "Bacterial small subunit ribosomal RNA", at positions 524 to 776 of the family's 1533-position model. The record is from RNAcentral.